Molecule: long non-coding RNA, 665 nt
Filed under: Vulpes vulpes (red fox)
Lineage: Eukaryota; Metazoa; Chordata; Mammalia; Carnivora; Canidae
Description: lncRNA (ENSVVUG00000014271.1)
Source: RNAcentral
GCUGGCCCUCCGGCGUCGCUCCCUUGUGCCUGGCUUCGGCUCUUGAGCGAGCACGUGUGCAGCUCCGGGGGAGCCCCGAGCCCCUGGCAGGCCUGUGCCACAUGCCCCCGGGAUGGGGGCCGGGGUUCAGGGCACCGUGACAACCGCGCUCUCUGUCUCUCAGCUCCAGAGACGCAAGAUCAAGUGCCGCGUCCUGUCGGCUGGAGUGACCGUCCUGCUGGUCAUCAUCCUCACCACUGCCACCUCCAUCCGAGAGUAAUGCCCCCGACGGUUGAUGCUGGGACCCAGGAGAGUGUCCCACCCACUGCCUCCCACCAGUGCGCUGGCCUCGCCACCACGACAUCCGCGUCCUGUCCCAAUGAACUGCCCCCCUCAGUUCGCCACGGCGCCGGUCUCCAUCCAUCGGGUCGGGGGCACCUUUCCAGCUCUGGGGCCCUGGAGAUGGAGCCUGAGCCCUAACAGGGGGAGAGGCCGGGGCAGGGGUGUGUGAGUGUGUGAGGGUGAGUGUGUGGGUGUGAGUGUGCACACGUGUCUGAGCGUGUGUGCCGGGUGGUGUGGGCACACGGGUGGGGUGGUCCGGGGCUGCCCCUCCCUCCAGCGCUGCCCCUCCCGAGGGGCUGCCCAUUGCAGCCUUGCCCCCCCUGCAGGCCCCGGGCCUUCCUCCC